AUUGAACGCUGGCGGCAUGCCUUACACAUGCAAGUCGAACGGCAGCGCGGGAGCAAUCCUGGCGGCGAGUGGCGAACGGGUGAGUAAUAUAUCGGAACGUGCCCAGUAGCGGGGGAUAACGCAGCGAAAGCUGUGCUAAUACCGCAUACGCACUACGGGGGAAAGAGGGGGAUCGCAAGACCUCUCACUAUUGGAGCGGCCGAUAUCAGAUUAGCUUGUUGGCGGGGUAAAAGCCCACCAAGGCGACGAUCUGUAGCUGGUUUGCGAGAACGACCAGCCACACUGGGACUGAGACACGGCCCAGACUCCUACGGGAGGCAGCAGUGGGGAAUUUUGGACAAUGGGCGCAAGCCUGAUCCAGCCAUGCCGCGUGCGGGAAGAAAGCCUUCGGGUUGUAAACCGCUUUUGUUCGGGAAGAAACUGACUGGGCUAAUACCCUGGUCGGAUGACGGUACCGGAAGAAUAAGCACCGGCUAACUACGUGCCAGCCGCCGCAGUAA
RNAcentral lists this ribosomal RNA (500 nucleotides) under uncultured bacterium. RNAcentral's name for it is "partial 16S ribosomal RNA". It matches the Rfam family "Bacterial small subunit ribosomal RNA", at positions 29 to 523 of the family's 1533-position model. The record is from RNAcentral.